GACGAACGCUGGCGGCGUGCUUAACACAUGCAAGUCGAACGGAGAGGCCCUUCUGUGGGGGGCUGCGCGGGUGGCGAGCGUGAGAGUAGCACGAGAGUAACCUGCCCUUGAGUUUGGGAUAACUUCAUGGAGCUGAGACUAGUACCUGAUAGCAUCUCGUGCUGCAUGGGGUGGGUUGGGAAGUUUGGUCGGGUGGGGAUGGACUCGCGGCUUAUCAGCUUGUUGGUGGGGUAGUGGCCUACCAAGGCUGUGACGGGUAGCCGGCCUGAGAGGGUGACCGGCCACACUGGGACUGAGACACGGCCCAGACUCCUACGGGAGGCAGCAGUGGGGAAUAUUGCGCAAUGGGCGGAAGCCUGACGCAGCGACGCCGCGUGCGGGAUGACGGCCUUCGGGUUGUAAACCGCUUUCGGCUGUGACGAAGCGCGAGUGACGGUACCGGGUAAAGAAGCACCGGCCAACUACGUG
This 468-nucleotide ribosomal RNA is filed under the name uncultured bacterium. Its description in RNAcentral is "partial 16S ribosomal RNA". It matches the Rfam family "Bacterial small subunit ribosomal RNA", at positions 28 to 507 of the family's 1533-position model. The record is from RNAcentral.